AUUUUUUUGAAGUUACUGAAGAAAGAAUACUCAAAGGCCAACACAACAAUUGAUACAGGAAACAUUUUACUUGACACGCACAGAGCUGAAGCAGUGAAAUUUGGAAGCUCACAGCUGCAAAGACAUCAAUUGGGAGAAAUGAAACAAAAGCUCACAGAAAAGAUGAACAUUCUAAGGGAUUGGAAGAAUCCUUUCAAUGUUGACAACUUAGCACAGAUCAAAAUCAUGGAAGAGCGUCUCAUUGCAACUCUCCAUAGCAUCAAAAACAGAAAAAAGGUAGCUGAGCACUUGCAGUCUCAGACUGUUUCAUAACUGGGCGAAGUUGGUACGUAGAUUAUCUGAAGAAGUUGGCGCAUCCUAACAUUAAUGGAGAGCAAAUUUAUGUAGUUUUCUGUGAGAGACUUCAUCUAACGUGUUUUCAUUUCCAUUGCUGGAAAUUUAUUUCGGAAUUUUAACUAUCAUGCAUCAACUCCCUCUCCCUCAAGGCUAAAAUAUUUAAUAUUUAUAAUCGUUUAUAACUCUUUAAAUUUAUAUCCAUUUGUAUUGUGAAGUAUUGCCCCCGCACCCUUAAUUAGGUUAGUAGUGUAUCUCGAGUCUGGUCCUAUCAGUAUGUGCCAUACUCUUCUUAACUUUUAGAGAUUGAGGAAGCAUUAGAGAUUGA
Molecule: long non-coding RNA, 661 nt
Organism: Hevea brasiliensis (rubber tree)
Lineage: Eukaryota; Viridiplantae; Streptophyta; Magnoliopsida; Malpighiales; Euphorbiaceae
Exons: 5
Source: RefSeq, a predicted model, not a curated record